Molecule: transfer-messenger RNA, 316 nt
Filed under: uncultured Azonexus sp.
Lineage: Bacteria; Pseudomonadati; Pseudomonadota; Betaproteobacteria; Rhodocyclales; Azonexaceae
Description: Betaproteobacteria transfer-messenger RNA
Rfam family: Betaproteobacteria transfer-messenger RNA
About the family: Bacterial tmRNA, also known as 10Sa RNA or SsrA, is named for its dual tRNA and mRNA-like properties. Its role is to liberate the mRNA from a stalled ribosome.
Source: RNAcentral
CCCAUAAUCAGGUUAUGGCUGUUAUUCCGGUGACUCGGAAACGCUCUGGACAGGGGUUCGAUUCCCCUCACCUCCACCUAAGCCCAUAGGGGUACAGGCUGGGAACAUACCAAGCUGUUGGCUUAGGUGGGGGUGUACUGGUUUCGACAGGGUGGAAGAAGAGAAGCAGGCAGCUCGAGAGGCGACGGACGUAAUCCGCGCAAAUCCAUAAUUGCCAACGAUGAGCAAUUCGCUAUUGCCGCCUAAAAACGGCUAGCCGGGGCUGCUAGAGCCUUGUUACCAAAGAUAGCCGGCGGGGACUUCAGUCCCCGUCGUC